This is a non-coding RNA of Perkinsus marinus ATCC 50983, 68 nucleotides long. The record is from Rfam. NCBI's taxonomy places the organism in Eukaryota, Perkinsozoa, Perkinsida, Perkinsidae.
GGGUGCGUAGCUCAGCGGUAGAGCGGCUGACUGUAGAUCUGCAGGUCCCCGACUCGAACCCGCGCCUA